RNAcentral lists this ribosomal RNA (452 nucleotides) under uncultured bacterium. RNAcentral describes it as "bacterial SSU rRNA". It matches the Rfam family "Bacterial small subunit ribosomal RNA", at positions 29 to 524 of the family's 1533-position model. The record is from RNAcentral.
AACGAACGCUGGCGGCAGGCCUAACACAUGCAAGUCGAACGCUCGUAGCAAUACGGGAGUGGCAGACGGGUGCGUAACGCGUGGGAACAUACCCUUUGGUUCGGAAUAACUCAGGGAAACUUGAGCUAAUACCGGAUACGCCCGAGAGGGGAAAGAUUUAUUGCCGAAGGAUUGGCCCGCGUCUGAUUAGCUAGUUGGUGAGGUAACGGCUCACCAAGGCGACGAUCAGUAGCUGGUCUGAGAGGAUGAUCAGCCACACUGGGACUGAGACACGGCCCAGACUCCUACGGGAGGCAGCAGUGGGGAAUAUUGGACAAUGGGCGCAAGCCUGAUCCAGCCAUGCCGCGUGAGUGAUGACGGCCUUAGGGUUGUAAAGCUCUUUUACCCGGGAAGAUAAUGACGGUACCGGGAGAAUAAGCCCCGGCUAACUUCGUGCCAGCAGCCGCGGUAAU